This 75-nucleotide transfer RNA is filed under the name Chloroflexota bacterium. Its description in RNAcentral is "Chloroflexi bacterium tRNA-Glu". It matches the Rfam family "tRNA". Rfam says of the family: Transfer RNA (tRNA) molecules are approximately 80 nucleotides in length. Their secondary structure includes four short double-helical elements and three loops (D, anti-codon, and T loops). Further hydrogen bonds mediate the characteristic L-shaped molecular structure. tRNAs have two regions of fundamental functional importance: the anti-codon, which is responsible for specific mRNA codon recognition, and the 3' end, to which the tRNAs corresponding amino acid is attached (by aminoacyl-tRNA synthetases). tRNAs cope with the degeneracy of the genetic code in two manners: having more than one tRNA (with a specific anti-codon) for a particular amino acid; and 'wobble' base-pairing, i.e. permitting non-standard base-pairing at the 3rd anti-codon position. Lineage: Bacteria; Bacillati; Chloroflexota. RNAcentral also lists the same sequence under 1 other name. The record is from RNAcentral.
GGGGCUGUCGUCUAGCGGCAGGAUUCCUCGCCUUCAACGAGGCAGACGCCGGUUCGAAUCCGGCCGGCCCUACCA